CCAAGAACGAAGGUGGUCGGCUGAGGCGUAAAAGAUGAACAACCAAAUUAGGGUUUAGUUCUCCAUGCUUCCCUAUAAAUACAUCUCAUACCCUCCGUUCAUCAGUGUAUCUUCUCUGUGUGGAUAGUCUUCUUAAAAAGUAAAGAAAGAUUGCCUCUCCUUUCGGCUGCAAGAAUCAGUAUGGGUUUCUUGAUGGCUUUGUUCUGGAGGCAUAUAUUAAUUUUCAUCCCAAGAUUGGGUUUUCAGAUUAUUUGCAUCUUCUUUUGCUUAUAUCACUCCCUUUCUUUGGUACAUUUAUUUCUGGUUUUGGUUUCAGUCUCUUCUUUUGUGUUUCUUUAUAGUGGGUGGGUUUGCUUGAACAAAUUGAUAGCAUCCCCUAAGGAUUUGCACCACCCUAGGCAUCUAACACCCCAAUUUCACUUUCAUAAUUACUGCUAUUUUUGUUAUUUUCAAGGAGACAAAAAAUAUUUUUUUAAUAUAAAAUAUUAAUUAUUGUUUUUUAUAUUAUUAAUUUUGACUGUCAUUAAUUUUAAAAAAAAACAAAUACACGAUGAUUUUGAAUAAAUCCUUUAAAUUUGAAUUAUAAAUGAUAAAACAAUAAGUUCAUAAAAAAAAUUAUAAAUUACAAUUUUUAUAAUGUAUGAAGUUUCAAUAUUUCAAAGGUAAGCGAGAUGUGUAGAAAUUAAUUCACUGUUAACAUAAUAAUAAAAUAAUACAUUUAUUAACUUUAAUUGUAAAAUAAUUUACUAUUUUAUAUUUAAAAUAAAAAAAUCAACAUCAACUUGUAUCAUAAAAUCAAGUCUUAUUUUUUAAUUUGCACAAGUCAAUUAAGCAAAUAAUUUAAAUUAGUCAAGUAAUCUAAUCAAACUGAGGAAAAUGGUGGUUUAAAAUUUUAAUCGACAUUAGAUCUGAUGGUGCACAAUAUCAAUGAGUGUGAGAGUAAGAUUGGUUCACUCACUUUGAAGCCAAAUGUCAAAAAAAAUAAAGGUGGAGGAAGAUGAGAGGAUUUUAAAAGAGGAGAAAGCUCCCCUUCUCCCCCAAUGAUGGUUGAGGAGAAUGUGUUAAAGAUGGACAGUUCCUCAGGUCAUUCACGAAUAUCUCUUCAGUUAUUUUUUAUAUUGCCACGUGUUUUAAUUGAGGUGGGAAUAUAACAAAUCCAAUCAAAUGCGGUUAAAAGUCUAUCCCAUAUUAAAGAUUUUUGAGCUUUUUAAUAUCACCAACAAAAAAAAAAAAAAAAAACCAUAUUCAAUCUCAUAUGGAAGAAUUUACAUAUCUUGACAAGGACAUGGCAAAUUGCAUUUUUUUUUAUAAUCUCAAAAUAAACCAAUGUACUUAUUUUUCUAAAAUAAUUUUAUUUUGUUGAUGGGUCGUCAAUAUUGCCAUCAAUUUCUCAUGGUCAACCUUCAAUUAGAUGUAAAAAAUUGAAAGAGAAUUAAUUGAUUUUUUUUAAACACGCCUUUUAUAUUGCUAUUAUAAAAAUUUCUCAAAAAUUAUAAUUUUUCUAAAAUAUUUGUUUAACUAAAUUUAUUUAAUAAAAAAUUAUCAUACUAAUAAAUAAGAUUAUAAUUUUUUAAAAGAAGUUUGUUAAAUCAAAUUUAUAUCAUAACACAUAAAAAUGUUAAAACUUAUAUUGAAUUAUCUUAUAUUUAAAGUAUUGCUUUUUUUUCAUUAACUAGGUAGUAAGACAAUAUUAUAUUAUUUUAGUUCUCAAUAUCAAAUUUUAUUAAUUUAUUAUAUAAAUUUUUAUAAAUAAUAAAUUAUGUAACCAAAUAUAAUAUUAGUUAUAGUCAAUUUAUUGAUUAUAAAAGGAUAAAAGAAAAGAGAAUAUUAAUUUACAACAUAAAAAAAUAGUACAGUCCAAAUGCUUUAAAGAGAAAUAUUACUUUAUAUUAACUAAUUUUUUUAAAAUCAUAAGACAUAUACAAGGUGCGUUUUCUAACACUAGAAAGUAAAGUAACAAAUAAAUAAACAUAAAAAAAAUAUUGCAGUGCUAAAUGGCUUAUGCUUGAUGACUGCCUAUUCAGGAGUUGCAGUGCCGCCUACAUACAGGCAACGCAAAGAUGUAUUCUAAAUCAUAUUACAAAUGAAAAUUAAGUAUUACAGGCCCAAAUUAAAUACC
Molecule: long non-coding RNA, 2119 nt
Filed under: Gossypium barbadense (sea-island cotton)
Lineage: Eukaryota; Viridiplantae; Streptophyta; Magnoliopsida; Malvales; Malvaceae
Description: long non-coding RNA (GBAR_LNC014069)
Source: RNAcentral